UACGGAGGGUGUAAACGUUGCUCGGAAUCAUUGGGCGUAAAGCGCACGUAGGCGGCCUGAUAAGUCGGGUGUGAAAGCCCUGGGCUCAACCCAGGAAGUGCACUCGAAACUGUCAGGCUUGAAUAUGGAAGAGGGUCGCGGAAUUCCCGGUGUAGAGGUGAAAUUCGUAGAUAUCGGGAGGAACACCAGUGGCGAAGGCGGCGACCUGGGCCAAUAUUGACGCUGAGGUGCGAAAGCGUGGGGAGCAAACAGG
RNAcentral lists this ribosomal RNA (253 nucleotides) under uncultured bacterium. RNAcentral's name for it is "partial 16S ribosomal RNA". It matches the Rfam family "Bacterial small subunit ribosomal RNA", at positions 524 to 776 of the family's 1533-position model. The record is from RNAcentral.